Molecule: long non-coding RNA, 2868 nt
Organism: Cyprinus carpio carpio
Lineage: Eukaryota; Metazoa; Chordata; Actinopteri; Cypriniformes; Cyprinidae
Source: Ensembl
AAAUAAAAUAAAAAUAAUAAUAAUAAUAAAAAAGAAAAAUUGAAAAAAGAAAAAGACCUUUCCAUAUUUACUUCUCUCCCUUUAAUAUACAACACACAGUAAAAUAUACAUUACAAAGAAGCAUUGAUAUUAUUGACAUUGAACAAAGUAUAAAAGAUUUUAAGGCUUUGGCAUUAUUGAAGAUCUAAGUUACAUUUCAGGUCUUUACAACAAAAAAUAAUAAAAAGAAGUUUCACAGAAAAAAAAAAAAGUUUAAAAAUUGUCCAGAAAAAUAAAUCGAUUUAUUAGGAAAUAUUUGUCUUCUAUAAAAACCAAAUAACACAUCUUUAAACACCAAAGAAAAAAAAAACACAAAUAAGUAACUCACAGCUACAACAGACAUUAACAACAACACAAAAAUGAUGAAGAACCAGGAAAAUGGUUACACAAAAGAGGUUAUGUGCAUUUCUUCACUCAUACACAUUCUCAAUGGUAACUGAAAAUAAAUAAAGUGAAUAGUGAUUAAUAAUAAGCUCGGGAGGAGACGGUAAAGGGGGCUGUAAGAGGCCACUAAAAAUCUACAAUUUUUAUCAUUUAGAAACAUAAAUAUAUUUGUAUAAAGUCUUAUAUAAGAAAUAAUAUUAAAAAAACUCCCAUCUAUCUAUAUUUUGUGCUCUCCGUCCAAUUCAGUACAUAACUGAACUCACACAAUGAAACAUAACUCUGUGGUCCCAAUAUGACAGUUUUCAUAUUUUGUACUUGUGCAUUAAAGGGGUCAUAUGAUGCUGCUAAAAAGAACAUUAUUUUGUGUAUUUGGUGUGUGGAAUUACAAAUAUUUAAAAUCUUAAAUCUAGGUUCCAAUGUAAUAGUUUAUAAACUAAAAAAGUUAUGUACAUUGUGUUUUACAUUUUGAGGUAAAAAAAGGAUCAAAUCAGGAAGCCCAGGUGUCUGAGAUAAUGAUCUUUUGUCUUUGUGCUCUUCCUUGCCAUUUGGCUUUUUAAGACUGAUUGGAUUAGCACCUAUGCAUUUGAAGGACACUGUUAUGCUGAUGAGAUCAGCGAUGGGGAAACUCCUGUAACAGGAGUUUCCUGUACUGCAUUUGCAUGCUUUGCUUAGAUGGUCUCCACCUCUAUGUAUGCCUCCCCCUUGAAAUGUAUAUAAACCACAAUGUAUCAAUGACUAGUUAGACUUUUGAUGACUUCAGCGCCAUCCAGCGCGUUCUCAAUAAAGAAUUCUGCUGAAGAUUACCCAAGAGUCUCCUGGUCUUCACUUUUGAGUUUCCAACAGGUGUAAUGAAAUGUGUUUAUGCGGUUUAAGGUUUAAAAAAACACAUUAUUUUCCACAUACUGUACAUUAUUGUUUCUCCUCUAUGCCCCGCCUUCUGAAACGUGUCGAUUUUCACAAAGCUUAUCACUCUGAAAAGCGAGGUGUGCUGUGAUUGGCCAGCUAUCCAGUGCGUUGUUAUUGGCCGAAUGCCUCAAGGAUGUGACGGAAAUGCUACACCCCUCACCAUACUGUGAUGCCCUGUCCGGCCGGAGCGAAGAGACGUAAACAUAAAACCCAUUAUAAACGUGAUAUAAACAUGAUUUCUAGUCGUGUUUACUUUUGGAAGGCCAAACAAAGUAGUUUUGCUUUCUCAACGAAACAACGUCACACACUGCAGCCUUGAGUGAGUGAAGACUGGAGGCCUAGAGUGAGCGGAGGCUGGAGGUCUAGAGUGAGCCGCGGUCUAGCGUGAGCGGAGGCUGCAGGUCUAGAGUGAGCCGUGGUCUAGAGUGAGCGGAGGCUGGAGGUCUAGAGUGAGCAGAGGUCUAGAGUGAGCCGCGGUCUAGAGUGAGCGGAGGUCAGAGGUCUAGAGUGAGUCGCGGUCUAGGUUGAGCGGAGGCUGCAGGUCUAGAGUGAGCAGCGGUCUAGAGUGAGCGCAGGCUGGAGGUCUAGAGUGAGCCGCGGUCUAGAGUGAGCGGAGGCUGCAGGUCUAGAGUGAGCGGAGGCUGGAGGUCUAGAGUGAGCCGCGGUCUAGAGUGAGCGGAGGCUGCAGGUCUAGAGUGAGCAGAGGCUGGUGGCUUGAGAACGGUGCGGCAGGCAGAUUCUACGAAGGAGCGUACCUUGGUCUUGCAGCAACCACAUGUGAUGACCCUGGGCUGGACGCCGCUUCGUACAUGGUGAAAGCUGAUCCUGCGAUCCACAGUGCAAAGUUGAUGUAUAUCCUCAGCGACCAGCACGGAUCAGCUCCAGGCAUAACGAAGCGGAUAUCGUCCUCUUUUGGAAGUAGUUUUGCUUUCACAUGAAACACACAGCGUCUAUACGACAUGGCGGCGGCGGCGGCAACAACAAUACUACAACGAGAAUAAAAGCUACACCUUCUUUCUUUGUGUGAACAUCUAGGCCCGUGUUAUGCAAAUCUUCACACAUACUGACGUAGAGAUGUGGGGCGUGUUAGAACAAGCCGUUUCAGGGGGGCGUGGACGAGUGUUAACUUUUAAAAGAAUAUCUCUUUGGGUUUGAGACUUUAGUCUUUGCAGCUUUACAGAUCUUCUUUAUGCACCAAGAGCUUGUAACACUCCAAAGAGAAAGGAAAAUUUGAAAUCGCAUCAUGUGACCUCUUUAAACAGGCAGCUUCCAGUAACAUGAAUGACACUCUAACAAUCAUGUUCAUGUGUUUAAAUGGAGUCAGUGUUUUAAUUAUUAGGAUGACUGUAAUCGUUCAAUCUCAGGUUUUUACAGUUCAUAGGUCACUUCUCCAGAAUAAAAAGGACAAGUUGAAUGCUUUUGGUCACUCUCCUGUACGGGCUUGCUAUCUGUAGUUUCCACUGUGGGUGAUGCCUUCUUCUUACAGCAGAAAAGAAGAAGACGAAAGCAAAUGAAGAGUGAGAAACAAAUAAAGAGUGA